This 467-nucleotide ribosomal RNA is filed under the name Salmonella enterica. RNAcentral describes it as "bacterial SSU rRNA". It matches the Rfam family "Bacterial small subunit ribosomal RNA", at positions 1048 to 1515 of the family's 1533-position model. RNAcentral also lists the same sequence under 2 other names. The record is from RNAcentral. Lineage: Bacteria; Pseudomonadati; Pseudomonadota; Gammaproteobacteria; Enterobacterales; Enterobacteriaceae.
GCUGUCGUCAGCUCGUGUUGUGAAAUGUUGGGUUAAGUCCCGCAACGAGCGCAACCCUUAUCCUUUGUUGCCAGCGGUCCGGCCGGGAACUCAAAGGAGACUGCCAGUGAUAAACUGGAGGAAGGUGGGGAUGACGUCAAGUCAUCAUGGCCCUUACGACCAGGGCUACACACGUGCUACAAUGGCGCAUACAAAGAGAAGCGACCUCGCGAGAGCAAGCGGACCUCAUAAAGUGCGUCGUAGUCCGGACUGGAGUCUGCAACUCGACUCCAUGAAGUCGGAAUCGCUAGUAAUCGUGGAUCAGAAUGCCACGGUGAAUACGUUCCCGGGCCUUGUACACACCGCCCGUCACACCAUGGGAGUGGGUUGCAAAAGAAGUAGGUAGCUUAACCUUCGGGAGGGCGCUUACCACUUUGUGAUUCAUGACUGGGGUGAAGUCGUAACAAGGUAACCGUAGGGGAACCUGC